Molecule: ribosomal RNA, 253 nt
Filed under: uncultured bacterium
Lineage: Bacteria
Description: partial 16S ribosomal RNA
Rfam family: Bacterial small subunit ribosomal RNA
Source: RNAcentral
GACGAAGGGGGCUAGCGUUGUUCGGAAUUACUGGGCGUAAAGGGCGCGUAGGCGGCCUGUUAAGUCGAACGUGAAAUCCCUGGGCUCAACCCAGGAACUGCGUCCGAUACUGGCAGGCUUGAAUCCGGGAGAGGGAUGUGGAAUUCCAGGUGUAGCGGUGAAAUGCGUAGAUAUCUGGAGGAACACCGAUGGCGAAGGCAGGUCACUGGGCCGCAACUGACGCUGAGGAGCGAAAGCAUGGGGAGCGAACAGG